GUAUACAUUCGCGUUCCUCGUAGUGCGAAUGCGUGCGCACAUUAUUUUCAAGUUUCAAAUCGACCGAUCUGUUCCAUCAUCAAGAGUUUUUUUUAGAACGUCCAUCGCAGAACUUCUCCCAUAAAAAUAAGUCAAUUAAACAGGCAAAUAAAGAAGCAUCAACGAUGCAUCCAGUGACAAUAUCUAUCACCUUCUUUGCUGUAUUCACGACGCUGGCAACUACUACGUCUACGGCGUCUAACGAACAGAUUGAUUUAGCCACUUUAAAAUCCGCCGUUCAAAAAUUGGAGAAGGAAUCUAAAUCUCUGCAAGAUUUGGUAGGAAAAAUGGAUCUCAAAGAGAUAUCAGACGGUCUAUCAACAAAUUCAGAGCGUUUAGAAGAAACGAAAUUAGAAAUCAAGAAUUUGAAGAAGGAGUUAACAGAAACAAAGAGUGUAGCUGAAAAGUUGAAGAUGGAAUUGGCCGACACAAAAAAGGAGUUACUCAAAAUUUCACAGGAUUUGACAAUGUCGAAGAGUAGUCUUUUAAAUCAGUUGAAUGGUUUACAAAAAGAUACUAAUAAGGAACUGAACGUCGUCAACACGACAAUGCGUAAUUUGGCAAAGGAAAUGAAAGAAAUUUCGGUCGGUUUUGAAAAUAAGUAUUCCGCAUUAUCUUCCGAACUUCAGGUCACAGCUGCUAAUUUAACACAAGAUUUACACGAAACUGACCUGAAAAUUGAUAUCACGACAUCAGUAAUGCUCAAACUUGAGGAAUCUUCCCAACGAUCAGCUGCCGAAGCUAACAUCGCUUUAGAGAAUUUAACGGAGGAAUUACAAGAGAAACUUGCAGCCAAUAAGCAAGAGUUGGACGAGGUAAAGAUCAAAGUUGGAAAUUUGACAACGGACCUGAAAGCUAGAACGAGCGAAAUAGUAGACAUUGGUAAAAUUCCUACAUCCUGUUCUGAUCUGCAACAAAUCGGAUACAAAACAAACGGACUAUUUUCUGUAAUGGGAAACACAUCGGUGGAAACCGUUUACUGCAACUUCCAUGCCAAAGAAAAGGAUUUGCAGAAAUGGAUUGGAUCGAACGACAUCAAGUCGGUGCCGACCUAUUUCUACGCCACGAGAAUCACCCCAUUUUCAACGUUAAAAACUCCAAUUCCAUUCGACCUGGCCAAAGUCAACAUCGGAAACGCCAUGGAACUGGCGUCGGGGAAAUUCAGGGCACCGAGAUCAGGGAUUUACUUCUUUUCUUUCACGGGCCACGCCCUUUUCCCUCAAUCUGUUUCCGAGGUAGAAUUAGCGGUGAGUCUUUACCUGAACGGCAAUCGAGUCGGCUGGGCGGAGGUAGAAGAAACCAACACCUCCGAUGGCCAAUUUAGUCCGUUGACCCUCCAGUCGACCAUCAACUUGAAGGCGGGCGAUCAAAUUUGGCUGCAGAUCGUGUCCAUUUCAGAAGGAACGGUCCUGUUCAACGCACGAAAUCAUUACACUCAUUUCACAGGGUGGAUGUUGGAGGAAGAUAUUGUUGCGUCACUGUGAAUAAAUAUGUACAUCGUUAAGUGACUGAAGCAAAUGUGGCAAUAUAAAAUUACAAGCAGCAAUAAUCUUAAUGAAAAUAACACGACACUCUGUACUACAAAUCUCUGUAAUACAAGCUGACAAAGUA
RNAcentral lists this unclassified non-coding RNA (1650 nucleotides) under Daphnia pulex (common water flea). RNAcentral describes it as "multimerin-1-like, transcript variant X2". Lineage: Eukaryota; Metazoa; Arthropoda; Branchiopoda; Diplostraca; Daphniidae. The record is from RNAcentral.